RNAcentral lists this ribosomal RNA (424 nucleotides) under Alternaria solani. RNAcentral describes it as "SSU rRNA". It matches the Rfam family "Bacterial small subunit ribosomal RNA", at positions 484 to 886 of the family's 1533-position model. The record is from RNAcentral. Lineage: Eukaryota; Fungi; Ascomycota; Dothideomycetes; Pleosporales; Pleosporaceae.
CCAUAGGUGCUCGACCAAAUCUUGUGCCAGCAGUCGCGGUAAGACAAGGGAGACGAGUGUUAUUCAUCUUUAACAGGUAUAUAGGGUACCUAGACGGUGUGCAAUGGCUUAAAUAAGUACCUGGUACACUUGAGUUUGAUAUGUGAGAGGAAUAUGUCGGAAUUGUUGGAGGAAAGAUGAAAUUUGUUAAUACCAAUAGGACUGAUAACGGCGAAGGCAAACCUCUAUGUACAUGUACUUGCUAUUUCUGUUUUUAUUAUAGCAAAAUAGCAAUGUACUAUAACUGACGUUGAGGGACGAAGGCUCAGAGAGUGAAGAGGAUUAGAUACCCCCGUAACCUGGGCAGACAAUGAUGAGUGCCAUAGGUUGGCUUUAAGGCGGAACUAUAAAUGAAAGUGGAAGCACUCCACCUCAAGAGUAAUGU